Molecule: small RNA, 556 nt
Filed under: Pongo abelii (Sumatran orangutan)
Lineage: Eukaryota; Metazoa; Chordata; Mammalia; Primates; Hominidae
Description: processed transcript
Source: RNAcentral
AGAGGCUGGAGGGAGGAACAGGAGGGGGAAGCUGAGAAAGAGGCUGAGCCUGUGCAGCGUGUCAGUGUCGUUGUGGGAGGAAGGCCCGUGAGAAUGGAGUCCUGUGUCCCACUGCAAGUGCAGCGAGUGUUCUGAGGAUGGAGUGGAGCUCUGGGGAUGGCAGCCGUGAGGCGAGAGGGUACAUCUGCAGUGACCUCUGCACCCGUUGGUAACUGGCAGUUGACAAGACCUCCAGGGCAUCAACCUGAUGGCAGAAAGGGGGGAUGUUUGCAUCGAUCUGCACUUCGAAUUCCACCCUGCCUUCUCCCGCAGUCAGGCUGGGAACGCGGCAGGCAAAGAUGGCAAAGAGCGCUUGGGCGGCUCAGUGCUGGGGCAGAUCCCCUUCCUGCAGAACUGCGAGGACGAAGACAGCGACGAGGACGAUGAGCUGGACAGUGUGCAGCACAAGAAGCAGCGUGUGAAGCUCCCAUCCAAGGCCCUGGUGCCCGAAAUGGAAGACGAGGACGAGGAAGACGACUCCGAGGAUGCUAUCAAUGAGUUUGAUUUCCUGGGCUCA